AUCUGGAUAGCUUAAAUUAAAGUUUAAUAUUGAAGAUAUUAAGAUAAGUUAAUACUUUCUAGAUA
Molecule: transfer RNA, 65 nt
Filed under: Vesperocoris paddocki
Lineage: Eukaryota; Metazoa; Arthropoda; Insecta; Hemiptera; Miridae
Description: tRNA-Phe
Source: RNAcentral